Molecule: unclassified non-coding RNA, 280 nt
Filed under: Hevea brasiliensis (rubber tree)
Lineage: Eukaryota; Viridiplantae; Streptophyta; Magnoliopsida; Malpighiales; Euphorbiaceae
Source: RNAcentral
CCCGCAGCGCGCCUUUCCGCCUAUCGGGCGCGCUCUGAACAUUGAUGAAUCGCGCUCGCAUUUUGCGCCCUACGCGACGUCUGCACCGAUCCCAUAAUGACGUGUUCGUUGAACACGAUGGUCUCCUCGCUUCCACCGACAAAGUCUAUCGAGAAAGCGAUGCUAUGAAUUCUAUCCACCCCACCAUGAGCCCUCCAGGGUCUCAUGAAAUUGGUCAUGGUCUGCAGAGAGACCACCUGUUUUGCAUUCAAGAAUAGCCGCUGUGCGAAGCCGGACGGGA